Molecule: unclassified non-coding RNA, 279 nt
Filed under: plant metagenome
Description: partial contains small subunit ribosomal RNA, internal transcribed spacer 1, and 5.8S ribosomal RNA
Source: RNAcentral
UUUCCGUAGGUGAACCUGCGGAAGGAUCAUUAUUGUAUAACCGAGGUGCGAAGGCUGUCGUCGACCCGACAGGCCGAGCACGCACGAGUGUCCUCAUACCCAUCCAUCACACACCGACGUGAACCACUGCGUGGGUCCCCCUAUGGCCUGUUCGGAGGGGGGUUUACGUUUUCACACAAACUAAGUAUGCAGUGUUGUGUGUAUCAUUUGUUUUUGCGAUAAUGCAAUCUAUAAAACUUUCCACAACGGAUCCCUUGCAUCCCGCAUCGAUGAAGAAGG